This 404-nucleotide ribosomal RNA is filed under the name Vicinamibacterales bacterium. RNAcentral describes it as "bacterial SSU rRNA". It matches the Rfam family "Bacterial small subunit ribosomal RNA", at positions 1 to 390 of the family's 1533-position model. Lineage: Bacteria; Pseudomonadati; Acidobacteriota; Vicinamibacteria; Vicinamibacterales. The record is from RNAcentral.
AAACAUGAGAGUUUGAUCCUGGCUCAGAAUCAACGCUGGCGGCGUGCCUAACACAUGCAAGUCGAACGCGAAAACGGGCUUCGGCCCGCAAGUAGAGUGGCAAACGGGUGAGUAACGCGUGGGUGACCUACCUUCGAGUGGGGGAUAACGUUCCGAAAGGGGCGCUAAUACCGCAUGACAUCCCGUCUUUGGAAAGAUGGUGAUCAAAGCUGGGGAUCGCAAGACCUAGCGCUUGUUGAGGGGCCCGCGUCCGAUUAGCUUGUUGGCGGGGUAAUGGCCCACCAAGGCGACAAUCGGUAGCCGGCCUGAGAGGGCGGACGGCCACACUGGGACUGAGACACGGCCCAGACUCCUACGGGAGGCAGCAGUGGGGAAUUGUUCGCAAUGGGCGCAAGCCUGACGAC